Molecule: long non-coding RNA, 662 nt
Filed under: Homo sapiens (human)
Lineage: Eukaryota; Metazoa; Chordata; Mammalia; Primates; Hominidae
Description: HSALNT0307619
Source: RNAcentral
CACAUAAUUACUGUACAGAACACUGUAAGCAAUUAUGACACACUGAGAAGUAUUUGGUAUUUAAACAUAGAAAAGAGACAACAAAUAUAUGGUAUGAAAGAUUAAAAAUAAAAACAAACAGCACAUCUGUAUAGGGCAUUUGCCAAGAAUGGAGCUUGCAGAAUUGGAAGUUGAUCUGGAUGAUUUGCCCCAAAGGAGAUUGAAUCCAAACAAGUCACAGGGCAGCAGGAGAGAUGAAGAAUGCUCAUGAAGAAAGAACUGACCCCCCAUUGGACUUUCUCAUAAACUGAUGACUCACUCCUGUUGCAAACAUUGGCUUCACUGAGAGUGCACAUUCUGCUGUCUCUAUAGCUUUGCCAAAAGUGGCCACAAUGGAUUGGCAAUAUCUUUAUUUGCUGAGAAGCAAUACUUUUGAUAGUUUACAAGGUGGCUAUAUCUAAUAGAGUCAUAAACAUCUAGGGUCAAAAUUGAUUUUAGUAAAUACCAAAUUGGAAAAAAAAAAGACAACAGAUUUUUUUUCUUUGGCCUUUUAAAACUCUCGUUUAACCAUAUAUCUUUUCAAGACACCAUUUCUUAAAUGGCUAAUGUAUUUGGCUGACAAAGCCAAAUAUAGUUCUAUAAAUAGCAUUAUUAAUGAUGAGGAAGUGGAGAUACAAUAGGAG